RNAcentral lists this ribosomal RNA (253 nucleotides) under uncultured bacterium. RNAcentral describes it as "partial 16S ribosomal RNA". It matches the Rfam family "Bacterial small subunit ribosomal RNA", at positions 524 to 776 of the family's 1533-position model. The record is from RNAcentral.
UACGAAGGGGGCUAGCGUUGCUCGGAAUCACUGGGCGUAAAGGGUGCGUAGGCGGGUCUUUAAGUCAGGGGUGAAAUCCUGGAGCUCAACUCCAGAACUGCCUUUGAUACUGAGGAUCUUGAGUUCGGGAGAGGUGAGUGGAACUGCGAGUGUAGAGGUGAAAUUCGUAGAUAUUCGCAAGAACACCAGUGGCGAAGGCAGCUCACUGGCCCGAUACUGACGCUGAGGCACGAAAGCGUGGGGAGCAAACAGG